RNAcentral lists this ribosomal RNA (786 nucleotides) under uncultured archaeon. RNAcentral describes it as "bacterial SSU rRNA". It matches the Rfam family "Archaeal small subunit ribosomal RNA", at positions 1 to 767 of the family's 1478-position model. The record is from RNAcentral.
UUCCGGUUGAUCCUGCCGGACCCGACUGCUAUUUGGGUGAGAAUAAGCCAUGCGAGUUGAAUGGGAUACCUAAAUUUUCCAUAGCAAACUGCUCAGUAACACAUGAUCAACUUACCCUAUAGAGAAAAAUAACCUCGGGAAACUGAGGAUAAUGUUUCAUAGUUGAAAAGGCUUGGAAAAGUUUUUCAAUCAAAAGGAUAAGAAAAAUGGUUCUUCUCCGCUAUAGGAUAGGAUCGUGGUCGAUUAUGGUUGUUGGUGAGGUAAUGGCUCACCAAGCCUAUAACCGGUACGGGCCGUGAGAGCGGGAGCCCGGAGAUGGGCACUGAGACAAGGGCCCAGGCCCUACGGGGCGCAGCAGUCGCGAAAACUCCGCAAUGCGCGAAAGCGUGACGGGGCUACCCCGAGUGCCGUGCGCUGAGGAUGGCUUUUUCCUGGUGUAAUGAGCGGGGGGAAUAAGGAGAGGGCAAGACUGGUGUCAGCCGCCGCGGUAAUACCAGCUCUCCGAGUGGUAGGGACGAUUAUUGGGCUUAAAGCGUCCGUAGCCGGCUUAGCAAGUCUUCUGUUAAAUUCAGCGACCCAAUCGUUGAGCCGCGGAAGAUACUGUUAGGCUAGGAGGCGGAAGAGGCCGACGGUAUUCUCGGGGUAGGGGUGAAAUCCUAUAAUCCCCGGAAGGACCACCAGUGGGCGAAUGCUGUCGGCUAGAACGCGCUCGACGGUGAGGGACGAAAGCUGGGGGAGCGAACGGGAUUAGAUACCCGGGUAGUCCCAGCUGUAAACGAUGCGGGC